GCUGCUGCAACCCGCUGCCCUCUGGUGUCCUGCUGUGGGAGCUUUGUUCUUUCACUCUCGUAAUAAGUCUUGCUGCUGCUCACUCUUUGGGUCCGCACUGUCUCUGUGAGCUGUAACACUCACCGCGAGGUUCUGUGCCUUCGUUCUUUAAGUCAGGGAGACCACGAACCCACCGGGAGGAACAAACAACUGUGAUGCGCCAUCUUUAAGAGCUGUAACAUUCACCGCCGGGGUCUGCGGCUUCAUUCCUGGAGUGAGUGAGACCACGAACCCACCAGAAGGAAGAAACUCUGGACCCAUCUGAACAGCUGAAGGAACAAACUCCGGACACACCAUCUUUAAGAACUGUAACACUCACCGGGAGUCUCCGUGGCUUCAUUCUUGAAGACAGCGAGACCAAGAACCCACCAGAAGGAAUGAAUUCCGCACACAUUGUUGUAUUAUAGGUAAGGGCUAGAGUAUUGGCAUUGGAGAGACGGACUAAAUUCUCAGCUCCAACCCUUACCAGCUUGGGCAACAGCACAAAGUUAAACCAGGAAGUCCCUCUGCCUUGCUAGGGAUCCAGGUUUGCCUUCCUGUUGAGGUAUCCCAUUUCAUUACAGUUGACCUAAGUUUGAACAAACACUGCCACCUGAUGCAUGAAAGCUCUACUGUGACCUACGUUAAAAGGAGCUGACACUCCCUCAGGCUACCUUAGUCAGUGGGGGCUUACUGCAGCAUACCUGUGGCGAUGAGAGAGAGAGGCACAUCACAGGAGCAUCUGGCACCAGUGGCAUCCUGAGCCCAGAGGAUGUCACGGUGAACUCACACUGAUAAAGACAUAUCUGGAAGGCUGUCUUCCACUCCCUGGAUGAAGAUGAGGUUAAAGCUAUUCCAGACAUCUUAUUUCAUGAAGAAUGGUAUGACAGAGAAGGCCCUAAAGCCUGGUGCUCAGAGAAACUGGUAAUGGCCCCAAAGGAUGACUACACUGUGGCCAGUGAUGCAUGGCAGAGAUUUGACUGUUGGAGGCCAAAAGAUUGAGGGUCGUGAUUAACUUAGUAUACCACUGGAGGCUAUAUGAGUAAACAGCAAACUGUUCUCAUAAAUGCGGAAUGUUGGCAAACUGACAAACUGUGUAUGCCACCCAGAAGUAGUGCUGAGGGCAGUCACACCCCAAGUGCAACGUUUCUUGUGAUUAGGUACAUCUGAAGCCUCUUGGUAAUAAUAUGAACCUGUGAUCAAUUAAGCAGCCGACCAAUUGUUACUGCCGCCUCCUUGCUCUUGUUACCCAAUAAAUACAAAGGGCUGUAGAAGCUCCGGGAGGAGGGGGCUGCCCUUGCUCACUAGAAGCAGGGAGCUCUCUUCUUCUUCCCCUGGCCCUUUCUUUAAAACAGAUUUCUUUUGUCUUAAGUUUUCAUUUCUGCGUUUGUCCCUUUGUUCAGUCUUG
This 1426-nucleotide long non-coding RNA is filed under the name Homo sapiens (human). RNAcentral describes it as "HSALNT0295436". The record is from RNAcentral. Lineage: Eukaryota; Metazoa; Chordata; Mammalia; Primates; Hominidae.